RNAcentral lists this transfer RNA (73 nucleotides) under Stegodyphus mimosarum. It matches the Rfam family "tRNA". Rfam says of the family: Transfer RNA (tRNA) molecules are approximately 80 nucleotides in length. Lineage: Eukaryota; Metazoa; Arthropoda; Arachnida; Araneae; Eresidae. The record is from Rfam by way of RNAcentral.
GCCUUCGUGGUGUAGUGGUCAGCACGCUCGACGCGUAACCGAGAGGUCAGUGGUUCGAUUCCCGGCGAAGGCG